GACAAUAAUACCCCACUUUUAUUCGCUAUAAUUUGCAAGAAAGAGAAAAUGGUGGAAUUUUUAUUGAAAAACAAAGCAAGUACACAUGCCGUUGAUAGCCUGAGAUGAACAGCCCUUAUGCUUGCUGUGCACUAUGACUCACCGGGUAUUGUCAACAUCCUUCUUAAACAAAAUAUUAAUGUCUUUACUCAAGACGUGUGGACAAGAUGCAGAAGAUUACGCUAUUUCUCGCUGUUUGACAAAAAUUCAACAACAAAUUUUGGAACAUAAAAAGAUGAUACUUAAAAAUGACAAACCAGAUGUUGGAAGUUCUGAUGAAUCUGCAGUCAGCAUUUUCCAUGAACUGUGUGUGGAUUCAUUGCCUGCAUUAGAUGACGAAGUCUUGAGUGUUGCUGCUAAGCAGUGUGUCCCCGAGAAAGUGUCAGAGCCUUUAUGUGGACCUUCCCAUGGAAAAGGAAAACAGAAUAGUCAAUGGAAAAGGAGAAGGGCCUCCUGCAAAACAUCCUUCCUUGAAGCCUAGCACUGAAAUGGAAGAUCCUGCUGUGAAAGGAGCAGUACAAAGAAAGAAUGUACAGACAUUGAGAGCAGAACAAGCCUUACCAGUGGCUUCAGAGGAAGAGCAACAAAGACGUGAAAGAAGUGAAAAGAAGCAACCACAGGUCAAAGAAGGAAAUAAUACAUACAAAAGUGAAAAAAUACAACUAUCAGAAAAUAUAUGUCAUAGUACAUCUUCUGCUGCUGCUGACAGAUUAACCCAACAAAGAAAGAUUAGGAAAACAGCCUCAGCAAUUUCCCAAGAAACUGAAGGAAGAGCAUGAUAGAUGCACCUUACAACAAGAAAAUGAAGAAAAAACAAAUGUUAAUAUGCUGUACAAAAAAAAUAGAGAAGAAUUAGAAAGGAAAGAGAAACAAUAUAACAAAGAAGUUGAAGCAAAACAACUUGAACCAACUGUUCAAUCACUAGAGAUGAAACCGAAGACUGCAAGAAAUACUCCAAAUCAGGAUUUUCAUAAUCAUGAAGAAAUGAAAGAUCUGAUGGAUGAAAAUUGCAUUUUGAAGACAGAUAUUGCUAUACUCAGACAGGAAAUAUGCAUAAUGAAAAAUGACAACCUGGAAAAAGAAAAUAAAUAUCUUAAGGACAUUAAAAUUGCUAAAGAAACAAAUGCUGCCCUUGAAAAGUGUAUAAAACUCAAUGAGGAAAUGAUAACAAAAACAGCAUUCCGGUAUCAACAAGAGCUUAAUGAUCUCAAAGCUGAGAAUACAAGGCUCAAUUCUGAACUGUUGAAGGAAAAAGAAAGCAAGAAAAAACUGGAAGCUGAAAUUGAAUCUUAUCAGUCUAGACUGGCUGCUGCUAUAAGUAAACACAGUGAAAAUGUGAAAACAGAAAGAAACCUGAAACUUGCUUUAGAGAGAACACAAGAUGUUUCUGAACAAGUAAAAAUGAGUUCUGAUAUUUCCGAAGUAGAAGAUAAGAAUUAGUUUCUUACUGAACAACUUUCUAAAAUGCAAAUUAAAUUCAAUACCUUAAAAGAUAAAAACACCCAAGAAUGAUCAAUAAACAUUAAAAAAAAAAGGUACAAGAAAAAAAAAGAUAAGUUCUGUAAGACAAGAGAUACUCUCAGAAAAAAGUCAUUGGCUUUAGAAACUGUACAAAAUGACCUAAGCCAAACACAGCAGCAAAUAAAGGAAAUGAAAGAGAUGUAUCAAAGUGCAGAAGCUAAAGUCAGUAAAUCCACUGGAAAGUGGAACUGUGUAGAAGAGAGGAUAUGUCAACUCCAACGUGAAAAUCCAUGGCUUGAACAGCAACUAGUUGAUGUUCAUCAGAAAGAGGAUCAUAAAGAGAUAGUAAUUAAUAUCCAAAGAGGCUUUAUUGAGAGUAGAAAGACCUCAUGCUAGAAGAGAAAAAUAAGAAGCUAAUGAAUGAAUAUGAUCAUUUAAAAGAAAGUCUCUUUCAAUAUGAGAGACAGAAAGCAGAAACAGUAGUGGUUGUGAGACAACUUCAACAAGAAGUGGCUGAUUCCCUUAAAAAAUUAACUAUGUUAGAGUCUCCACUGGAAGGUACAUCAUGUUGUCACAUUAAUUUGGAUGAGACACAGGCCUCAAAGAAGAAAUUAUUUCAAAAAAAAAUGAAGAAUUAAGGAAACUUUUUAAGUUAGUAUCAUCACUGGAGUAUAAUGUGAAUCAAAUAAGAAAGAAAAAUCAUGAAUUAGAAGAAGAGGCAACUGGAUAUAAGAAAUUCCUGGAAAUGACAAUAAAUAUGUUAAGUGUAUUUGGAAAUGAAGACUUCGAUUGCCAUGGAGACUUAAAAACAGAUCAACUGAAAAUGAAUAUUCUGAUUAAGAAGCUAAAACAUAAGCUAUACUAUUUUAUUCAUGCAGUUUGAUGAUCUUACAGUAGAGAAGGAAGCUGUAUCUUCAAAAUGUGUCAAUUUGGCUAAAGACAAUCAAGUUCUUCAACAGGAGUUAUUAUCGAUGAAAAAAGUACAACAGGAAUGUGAAAAACUUGAGGAGGAUAAAAAGAUGUUGGAAGAAGAAAUAUUAAAUCUUAAGACACAUAUGGAAAACAAUAUGGUAGAACUUAGUAAACUACAAGAAUAUAAAUCGGAGCUAGAUGAAAGGGCAAUGCCGGCAGUAGAAAAAUUAGAAGAAAUCCAUUUACAGGUUAGUUUUUUAAAUCAGGUAAGUUUAUCUGUAAUAGCAGUUAAGGAUAAUACGGCUUCACUAAAUAAGAAGGAACUCACACUUAAAGAUGUGGAAUGUAAAUUCUCCAAAAUGAAAACUACUUAUGAAGAGGUUACAACCAAAUUAGAAGAAUAUAAGGAAGCCUUUGCAGCAGCACUGAAAGCUAACAAUUCCAUGUCAAAAAAAUUAACGAAAUCUAAUAAGAAAAUAGCAAUGAUCAGCACCAAGCUCCUUAUGGAGAAAGAGCGGGUGAAAUAUUUUCUCAGCACUCUUCCUACAAGGCGAGGCCCAGAGUCACCUUGUGUUGAAAAUCUUACUAGUAUAGGACUCAACAGAAAAUAUAUUCCCCAAAUGCCCGUAAGAAUUCCUACUUCAAACCCCCAGACCUCAAAUAACUGCAAGAACUACUUGACUGAGGUGGAGCUGGACUGUGUAGAACAAAUAAUUAGAGAAACAAAGAGAACUGUUGCUGUGUUGGACACUUGCUCCCAUCUAUUUUCUUCUCUAGAAUCCACUGCGCUGGAAUGAGUCAUUUUUUUUAGAAGCAGAGGUGGAGCCACUGAGGAAGCACAGGCGAGCCCUCCCCAGCGUGUACUCACUGGUCCCCAACAGAAGAACAGCUGCCGCAUCCACUGAG
Molecule: RNA transcript, 3318 nt
Organism: Homo sapiens (human)
Lineage: Eukaryota; Metazoa; Chordata; Mammalia; Primates; Hominidae
Gene: ANKRD20A9P
Gene name: ankyrin repeat domain 20 family member A9, pseudogene
Exons: 22
Source: RefSeq, marked validated